UACGAAGGGGGGCUAGCGUUGCUCGGAAUGACUGGGCGUAAAAGGGCGCGUAGGCGGACGGCUUUUGUCGGGCGUGAAAUUCCAGGGCUUAACCUUGGGGCUGCGUUCGAGACGGGUUGUCUAGAGUUUUGGAAGAGGGGUCGUGGAAAUUCCCCAGUGUAGAGGUGAAAAUUCGUAGAUAUUGGGAAGAACACCGGUGGCGAAGGCGGCGACCUGGUCCUUGACUGACGCUGAGGCGCGAAAGCGUGGGAGCAAACAGG
RNAcentral lists this ribosomal RNA (260 nucleotides) under uncultured bacterium. RNAcentral's name for it is "partial 16S ribosomal RNA". It matches the Rfam family "Bacterial small subunit ribosomal RNA", at positions 524 to 776 of the family's 1533-position model. The record is from RNAcentral.